GACGAACGCUGGCGGCGUGCUUAACACAUGCAAGUCGAACGGAAAGGCCCUGCUUGCAGGGUACUCGAGUGGCGAACGGGUGAGUAACACGUGGGUUAUCUGCCCUGCACUUCGGGAUAAGCCUGGGAAACUGGGUCUAAUACCGGAUAGGAGCCAUUUUUAGUGUGAUUGUUGGAAAGUUUUUUCGGUGUAGGAUGAGCUCGCGGCCUAUCAGCUUGUUGGUGGGGUAAUGGCCUACCAAGGCGGCGACGGGUAGCCGGCCUGAGAGGGUGGACGGCCACAUUGGGACUGAGAUACGGCCCAGACUCCUACGGGAGGCAGCAGUGGGGAAUAUUGCACAAUGGGCGCAAGACUGAUGCAGCGACGCCGCGUGGGGGAUGACGGCCUUCGGGUUGUAAACUCCUUUCGCUAGGGACGAAGCUUUUUGUGACGGUACCUAGAUAAGAAGCACCGGCUAACUACGUG
This 465-nucleotide ribosomal RNA is filed under the name uncultured bacterium. RNAcentral describes it as "partial 16S ribosomal RNA". It matches the Rfam family "Bacterial small subunit ribosomal RNA", at positions 28 to 507 of the family's 1533-position model. The record is from RNAcentral.